GCUUACGGCCACACCGCCUGGUUCACGCCCGAUCUCGUUUGAUCUCGGAAGCUAACAUAGGGUGGGCCUGGUUAGUACUUGGAUGGGAGACAGCCUGGGAAUACCAGCUGCUGUAAGAU
RNAcentral lists this ribosomal RNA (119 nucleotides) under Scophthalmus maximus (turbot). The record is from RNAcentral. Lineage: Eukaryota; Metazoa; Chordata; Actinopteri; Pleuronectiformes; Scophthalmidae.